Molecule: ribosomal RNA, 445 nt
Filed under: uncultured bacterium
Lineage: Bacteria
Description: partial 16S ribosomal RNA
Rfam family: Bacterial small subunit ribosomal RNA
Source: RNAcentral
GUGAGGAAUAUUGGUCAAUGGGCGGAAGCCUGAACCAGCCAUCCCGCGUGAAGGAAGGCGGCCCUAUGGGUUGUAAACUUCUUUAGUACAUGAAGAACAGGAUCUACGCGUAGGUUUAUGACGGUAAUGUACAAAAAAGCAUCGGCUAACUCCGUGCCAGCAGCCGCGGUAAUACGGAGGAUGCGAGCGUUAUCCGGAUUCAUUGGGUUUAAAGGGUACGUAGGUGGCCCUGUAAGUCAGUGGUGAAAAUCUGCCGCUUAACGGUAGGGGUGCCAAUGAUACUGCGGGGCUUGAGUACAGUUGAGGUAGGUGGAAUGUGUAGUGUAGCGGUGAAAUGCAUAGAUAUUACACAGAACUCCGAUUGCGAAGGCAUCUUACUAAGCUGAAACUGACACUGAUGUACGAAAGCGUGGGGAUCGAACAGGAUUAGAAACCUGUGUAGUCC